AAAUGUAACCUAAAAUAUUGUUGAAACUGGGCAUCAUUCAAACCCUAUGACUACUAAUAAUACAUGAUACACAUGGCUAUAGGUAGCAUACUCAUUAAGAUGGCAGUCCAUGUAACACCUGUAUUCUCAUGAAUAAUCUCACUGAUAACU
Long non-coding RNA from Oxyura jamaicensis (ruddy duck), 150 nucleotides. RefSeq lists it as uncharacterized. Lineage: Eukaryota; Metazoa; Chordata; Aves; Anseriformes; Anatidae. The record is from RefSeq and is a predicted model, not a curated record. The transcript is spliced from 4 exons.